AGUGAACGCUGGCGGUAGGCCUAACACAUGCAAGUCGAACGGCAGCACAGUAAGAGCUUGCUCUUACGGGUGGCGAGUGGCGGACGGGUGAGGAAUAAAUCGGAAUCUACUUUUUCGUGGGGGAUAACGUAGGGAAACUUACGCUAAUACCGCAUACGACCUACGGGUGAAAGCAGGGGAUCUUCGGACCUUGCGCGAUUGAAUGAGCCGAUGUCGGAUUAGCUAGUUGGCGGGGUAAAGGCCCACCAAGGCGACGAUCCGUAGCUGGUCUGAGAGGAUGAUCAGCCACACUGGAACUGAGAGACGGUCCAGACUCCUACGGGAGGCAGCAGUGGGGAAUAUUGGACAAUGGGCGCAAGCCUGAUCCAGCCAUACCGCGUGGGUGAAGAAGGCCUUCGGGUUGUAAAGCCCUUUUGUUGGGAAAGAAAAGCAGCAGGUUAAUACCCCGCUGUUCUGACGGUACCCAAAGAAUAAGCACCGGCUAACUUCGUG
RNAcentral lists this ribosomal RNA (492 nucleotides) under uncultured bacterium. Its description in RNAcentral is "partial 16S ribosomal RNA". It matches the Rfam family "Bacterial small subunit ribosomal RNA", at positions 29 to 507 of the family's 1533-position model. The record is from RNAcentral.